AAAUGAAAUAAAACCCAACCAGGCAAAGACACCAAUAACAACCUGCGUCUCACCAGUGCUGCAGGAAUGCUUAGGUAUUUAAGAGCAAAUUUUGUGUGUACAGAACUCAGAAAGGGCUACUGACUUAACAUUGCACUUAAACUGACACAGGA
Oxyura jamaicensis (ruddy duck) is the source of this 152-nucleotide long non-coding RNA. RefSeq lists it as uncharacterized. The record is from RefSeq and is a predicted model, not a curated record. The transcript has 3 exons. NCBI's taxonomy places the organism in Eukaryota, Metazoa, Chordata, Aves, Anseriformes, Anatidae.